GAUGAACGCUGGCGGCGUGCCUAAUACAUGCAAGUCGAACGAGGUGCUUGAGUAGCAAUACGAGAGUAUCCUAGUGGCGAACGGGUGAGUAACGCGUUGGUGACCUACCCCAAAGUGUGGGAUAACAGUCCGAAAGGAUUGCUAAUACCGCAUGUGGUCCUCGGGGUUUAGAAACCGAUGACGAAAGCAGCAAUGCGCUUUGGGAGGGACCUGCGUCCCAUCAGCAGUUGGUGAGGUAACGGCUCACCAAGGCGACGACGGGUAGGGGACCUGAGA
RNAcentral lists this ribosomal RNA (276 nucleotides) under uncultured bacterium. RNAcentral describes it as "partial 16S ribosomal RNA". It matches the Rfam family "Bacterial small subunit ribosomal RNA", at positions 28 to 297 of the family's 1533-position model. The record is from RNAcentral.